AGCGUUUCUUUUUCCCAUCCGUCUUCUAUAAAGUGUUUCAGUGAGUUAGAAUAACAAUUAGGAGACGCACACUCAGAGCGGAGCGAGGCGAGCAUCAUUGAUCGUCUUAAAGGGCGAAAUAAUGGAGAGAAAGAUGCAGCUGGAGCUUUCAGACCGAGCCGACAUCAUCACAACAUCGAGACGGGAGAGGAGGUGAAGCUGCAGAGGACCCCGCCCCGACGUGACGGGGGUCUUUGAACCCAUCAGCUGUGAUCUGAAGGUUCUCAGGGGAAGAACGCCAACUUCUCAGAUGGAGCGAUGAACGGCUCUAAGAGAACUCCUUCUUAGUUUAUAUUGUUUAUUUUUCAACAUCAGGAGAGUGGAGCUAAAUUCACCUCCUUUAGAAACGUCUGUGGGUUAAAUGUUGACUUUAUUCAUGUCCAGGAGCAGAGCCCGGGUUCGAGAUCAAGACUCGAGUUCAAAAUGAGAAAAGAAACUGAAGGAGGAGGAGGUCACAGAGCCGCUGAGAGAAUCAGGGUGGGUCAGGGUUUAUGUAGGGGUGCCCCGGCCCCUGGGACCCCUAGGACAGUGGUUCUCAACUGGUCUCACUCUGGGACCCACAUUUUUCCACGGUCCUUAAAUCACGACCCACUUUUAUAGAAUUCAAACCAAGAAAAUUCAGAGCACAUGAAGGGG
This is a non-coding RNA of Xyrichtys novacula (pearly razorfish), 675 nucleotides long. The record is from the annotation of a GenBank genome assembly. NCBI's taxonomy places the organism in Eukaryota, Metazoa, Chordata, Actinopteri, Labriformes, Labridae.